This 457-nucleotide ribosomal RNA is filed under the name uncultured bacterium. RNAcentral's name for it is "bacterial SSU rRNA". It matches the Rfam family "Bacterial small subunit ribosomal RNA", at positions 772 to 1242 of the family's 1533-position model. The record is from RNAcentral.
ACUGAAUAGAUACCCGGGUAGUCCACGCCGUAAACGAUGGAUGCUAGCUGUAAGGAGUAUCGACCCUUCUUGUAGCGAAAGCUAACGCGUUAAGCAUCCCGCCUGGGGAGUACGGUCGCAAGAUUAAAACUCAAAGGAAUUGACGGGGACCCGCACAAGCGGUGGAGCGUGUUCUUUAAAUUCGAUGAUAAGCGAAGAACCUUACCAGGGCUUGACAUCCUUGGAAGUCCGUCGAAAGACGGAUGUGCCUUUUGGAACCAAGUGACAGGUGUUGCAUGGCCGUCGUCAGCUCGUGUCGUGAGAUGUUUGGUUAAGUCCAUUAACGAGCGCAACCCUUAUGAAUAGUUGGAUUUUUCUAUUUAGACUGCCUCGGUAACGGGGAGGAAGGAGGGGAUGAUGUCAGGUCAUUAUUACCCUUACGUCCUGGGCUAGAAACGCGCUACAAUGGCCGGUACAG